AAGUCGAACGAAGGCCCGGAGCUUGCUCCGGUCACCUUAGUGGCGGACGGGUGAGUAACGCGUGGGAAUCUACCUUACGAUGGGGAAUAACAGUUGGAAACGGCUGCUAAUACCGCAUACGCCCUUUGGGGGAAAGGCUUCGGCCGUCGUUAGAGGAUCCCGCGUUCGAUUAGCUAGUUGGUAGGGUAAUGGCUUACCAAGGCUACGAUCGAUAGCUGGUCUGAGAGGGUGAUCAGCCACACUGGAACUGAGACACGGUCCAGACUCCUACGGGAGGCAGCAGUGGGGAAUAUUGGACAAUGGGGGAAACCCUGAUCCAGCGAUGCCGCGUGAGUGAAGAAGGCCCUAGGGUUGUAAAACUCUUUCACCCGUGAAGAUGAUGACGGUAGCGGGAGAAGAAGCUCCGGCUAACUCCGUGCCAGCAGCCGCGGUAAUACGGAGGGGGCUAGCGUUGCUCGGAAUUACUGGGCGUAAAGCGCGCGUAGGCGGCAAACCAAGUCAGGCGUGAAAGCCCAGGGCUUAACCCUGGAACUGCGUUUGAUACUGGUUCGCUAGAAUUCGAGAGAGGGUAGUGGAAUUUCCAGUGUAGAGGUGAAAUUCGUAGAUAUUGGAAAGAACACCGGUGGCGAAGGCGGCUACCUGGCUCAAUAUUGACGCUGAGGUGCGAAAGCGUGGGGAGCGAACGGGAUUAGAUACCCCGGUAGUCCACGCCGUAAACGAUGAGUGCUAGUUGUCGGGCAGCUUGCUGUUCGGUGACGAAGCUAACGCGUUAAGCACUCCGCCUGGGGAGUACGGCCGCAAGGUUAAGACUCAAAGGAAUUGACGGGGGCCCGCACAAGCGGUGGAGCAUGUGGUUUAAUUCGAAGCAACGCGAAGAACCUUACCAGCCCUUGACAUACCUGUCGCGAUUUC
Molecule: ribosomal RNA, 912 nt
Filed under: uncultured marine bacterium
Lineage: Bacteria
Description: bacterial SSU rRNA
Rfam family: Bacterial small subunit ribosomal RNA
Source: RNAcentral